GCCCCCAACCGCCAGAAUUUAAGAUCUGGCUCCGCCCUCCUAUCGCGCAUUAAAGGGCUCGCGGCCAACAAAAAGGCAGCCCUGGGGGCGGCGAAAAGCGUCCUUCGGGCAGGACUAGUGCGGAGCCCCGCGGGGAGCACCCCAGCAGGGAAGUCCCAGUCUUCCCACGUGCUGGGAAGCCUCCCAUGUGCUGGCUCAGUCUCGCCAUCCCACUCACCUUCCCAGGGAGGGAUCCCCUAGAACGCGGCCCGGCCCGCCUUUUGAAGGGGUAAAAGUGGGGCGCCUCUGGGCCUCCGCCUGGGGUGGGGGCGGGCCAGGUCCUCUGCCAAGUCAAAGACGAGGCGGGGCGCCAGCGCUGGAGGCGUGGCUGUGCCUGAGAGCCGUUGGAGGAGGGAGCACCGCCUUCCCUCUCCCGGCCCCUAGUUCUCCUAUUGCGCUUUUCCUGGGGGAUCUUUCUCCCUCUGUCUCCGCCCCCCAAUCCCUGCUUCCGAGAAUGGGGGUGGUGGGUGGUGGUGGCGAGGACGCUCGGCGCCUGCGCACUAGCUUCACGCCGCUGGCCGGCCCAAGAGCGGAGGUAGAGGGAACGACGCAUGCCUGAGAAAAGGCGGGAAACAUAGGAGGCUCGAGGCUUGCGCACACGCACACAGCUAACUGCUUCUGGACCGCCUGAGAGGCGGCCUCACCCGCCGUGGCGGUGUGGGGCGGGCAUCCCUUGAGACUGUGUUCUGGAUGCCUGGAGAAACAGCUUUCCAUCCUCAGCACUGGGGAGAGCAGACCUCGAUCCCUGUCUUUGCCUGCUGCCCCUCCUCCUUCCCUCUCAAAGCAUACCCACCAGCCCCGGCUCUGAGAAACGCGUUAUCCUCUUAUCAGCUGUGGGAGAGACAGGACGGACUGGCUUCUGGGCGGUGGGGCCGCCAUUGCCUGCCCUCUGGACCAGGGCCUCACAGAUGCCCUCAACUUCAGGAUUAGGGCUGCGUUGCUUUUUCCCCCCACGACAGGGGACUUCAACAAGUAACCUCCAGUUCCAGAGAUAAAACUUGCAUUCCUCCCUUCUCCAUAGCAGGGGUUUUGAGCCUAGAGAAGGAAGAUCCGAGCUUCCUGGGGCUCCUAUGAAGCAGGCAGGGGGCAGCAUUGGGCCCCGGGAAGAGGCAGAGAAGGCGAGAGAGCGCCUGCAGCGAGCCCAGAGCCUUGGGCCCGUUAUCCUCUGAUGCUGCUCCCCCAACUUUCCUGCCGUCAGCCCCUGACCUUGCCUGAGACCUUGGCGGCUCCCGCACCUCCUCCCAGCUCCUCCUUGCUGAGAACACAACCCGCAAGGCCAUUCCGCCUGGCUGGACUGAGUCCCCUAUGGGGGCAACCUGGCAGGAAGCAGGUGUCUUCCUGGCAGCAGAGGACAGACCUGGUAAACUGAGAGACUGUUGAUGCCCCGAUGUUCUGCCUAGCCUGCAUGGAAACUCCAGAAGGGGUUUAUGCUGAGGGUGGCAUUGUCCUGGGAAAGCUUCAUCCUCUCUGAGGACGGGAGACUCUGGUCCUUGAAGAACCAACUGAUGGAGAUUCCAGUGUCAUUUGUGGAGCAGGUUACAUCUCUGCUGGACAUACUAGAUAUUGAAAUCUUUGUUCCUUCUCUUGGUUCUGGGUUGGCUGACCUAUCAGCUGGAGCUGGAGGACAUGCCUGACAGGAGAGUGACCCCCAUGGGAAAGAGCAGGGCUCAGCAGAGUGAAAGCAGCCAGGACACAGAGAAGCCAAUGAGGUCUGACUCUUAGAAGCCAAAGACCAGCAGGUGAGUGUCCUCAGGGGCAAAUGGACUACACUGUUACCCAUUGCAGUGGACUGGAAAAAGGGUGGAGAGAGUCACAUUUCCUAAUGAGAGAUGGAAAGCAUCUGAUUACCAGAAAAAGUGUCCAAAUGCUGCUGGUAUGAUCAUGGGGCUGCAGGUGGAGGUCAGUUCAAGGAGGUAUCAGGGAAAGUCAUUUCGAGAGUCUUUUUUUUUUUUUUUUUUUUACAAAAUCGUGGGCAGAAGCCACCAGCUGGACCCACCACAUAUUGGAAUGCACAAGGGACAUGAAUAGAGCUCAGUAAAUUUAGAAUGAAAUCCAAGAGUGGGCAAGAGGUUUGAGAGGUCGACAGGUGUGAGAGGUGAAUGUGUGAAUGGUGAGAAUAUUCAAAACAUCCUCUUUCUCCAUAAUAAGAGAGCAUUUAAGUCCCUGAGUCAGACAGUGUCCAGGCCAGGGGGAGCAGGAUGUCAGCUCUCCUGGCCAAAAGUGAGACUCCAGCAGUGUCCAGUUACUUGGUCCAGUUUGGGAUUUAUUCCUAUUUUAAAAAUGGUCCAACAGUAUACAAUUUUGAAAAUAUACAAAAAUCCCUAUGCUACCAUUCAUAGAUAGCCAAGAUAGCCCUAAGAUAGUGAGAGAAUCAGAAUGGGGUUUGGGUUUAUGUUGUGUAUUUUUUCCUCCCAAUAUCUACAGAAUUCCCUACAUCCUACUUUUUAAUGUAACCCAGUGGGUGUCAUUCCCUUUCGUAGUUACAGACCUUUCCGGUUCACGGUUACAGACCCUUGGAAAACCCAUACCCUUUCUGCUGUGAGGUACAGGCAGCCAUGCGGCAUCACCUCUAAACAUGCCUUCUGGGACAUCAAAUUUCUGAAUAAGUGAAAGUCAUUUCAGUAGAUAUUGAAGACCUCCAUUUUACCCCUCUCACACUUGUAAUUCUUCUACCAAGAGGUGAUGGAUUUUAGUGGUGAUUUGCUUUUAUAGAUUAGUGAAGAUUAAUGCUUCUGCCAGGGGCAAUUUUUUCAUUGGGAAAAGCAUUUGGCAAAGUCUGGAGACAUUGCUGGUUGUCAGAGCUGGAGGGAGUCCUUCUGGCCUUGAGUGAGUAGAGUCCCCAGAGAGUGCUGAACAUUCUAGAGCUCACAGAGCCCCACCAGCAUGACCACUACAAAGUUCAAUGCUGAGGAGGAGUGGAGAGCCCUGAUAUGCCUCCCCUAGCUUCCCUGGAGGUUUUUACUUUCUCCUUUAAUCAGUCUCUACCACUUUCUCACCUCAGCUUGCUCCUGGAACCUUAAUGCCCUCCUCUUGAACUUGCCCUUAGUUUAAGACCUGCUGUAAUCUCUUGAUUUCCUUGGCCCCUUUCUGAUCCUUAGCAGCGUGUCCUCUAGAGGGCACCCUCAUCUUUCCAGGAGCUUCCCAGGAUCCAGAUGCCCCUGCCCUGUGUGGGCACCAGAGAUAUGGCCCUGUGCCUGUGUCCCUAAAGGUCCUGUCACUCAGGACCUUUGUGUGAGAGCAACUGAGGUGAUAUUACCCUCCCCUACUUUUUUUGGAACAUAAAAAUAUGUACAAACCUUGUAGAGUAAAAUUUCUUAAUGCAUGUGAAAAUUUAAAAAAUACAUUUUUUUGCCUCCCAAACUUUACUGGGAAAAAUUUAUUACAGUCCCAGUCAUAAAAAAUGACACCUAAUCAGGGUUAUUCACUGUAUUGUUUGUUUAACAGCAAAAUAUGGGGAAUAACCUAGACUUUCACCAGCACAAUGCUAUUUAAAGAGGUUACCUUAUAUCUACACAAUAGAAUAUGAUGCAGCUACAUAAAAAGUAUAGAAUCUUUCAGCUAUUCAUAUGGAAACACCUCCAUAUUGUAUUUUAAUUAUAGCAUCUAAACAUCACAGAAUGAUAUGCAGUUUUUGUACUAG
Molecule: non-coding RNA, 3679 nt
Organism: Macaca mulatta (Rhesus monkey)
Lineage: Eukaryota; Metazoa; Chordata; Mammalia; Primates; Cercopithecidae
Source: RefSeq, a predicted model, not a curated record